AGAGUUUGAUCCUGGGCUCAGAUUGAACGCUGGGGCAGGCCUUAACACAUGCCAAGUCGAGCGGUAGAGAGAAACUUGCUUCUCUUGAGAGCGGCGGACGGGUGAGUAAUGCCUAGGGAAUCUGCCUAGUGGUGGGGGAUAACGGUUCGGAAACGGACGCUAAUACCGCAUACGUCCUACGGGAGAAAGCGGGGGACCUUCGGGCCUCGCGCCAUUAGAUGAGCCUAGGUCGGAUUAGCUAGUUGGUGAGGUAAUGGCUCACCAAGGCUACGAUCAGUAACUGGUCUGAGAGGAUGAUCAGUCACACUGGAAUUGAGACACGGUCCAGACUCCUACGGGAGGCAGCAGUGGGGAAUAUUGGACAAUGGGCGGAAGCCUGAUCCAGCCAUGCCGCGUGUGUGAAGAAGGUCUUCGGAUUGUAAAGCACUUUAAGUUGGGAGGAAGGGUAGUAACUUAAUACGUUGCUACUUUGACGUUACCGACAGAAUAAGCACCGGCU
Molecule: ribosomal RNA, 499 nt
Filed under: uncultured Pseudomonas sp.
Lineage: Bacteria; Pseudomonadati; Pseudomonadota; Gammaproteobacteria; Pseudomonadales; Pseudomonadaceae
Description: bacterial SSU rRNA
Rfam family: Bacterial small subunit ribosomal RNA
Source: RNAcentral